GUCUGAUGCAGCCCGCGCGUGAGUGAUGAAGGUUCUUCGGAUCUGUAAAACUCUGUUGUUAGGGAAGAACAUGUAUCGUUCUAAUAGGGAGGUACCUUGACGGUACCUAACCAGAAACCCACGGCUAACUACGUGCCAGCAGCCGCGGUAAA
This 152-nucleotide ribosomal RNA is filed under the name uncultured bacterium. RNAcentral describes it as "partial 16S ribosomal RNA". It matches the Rfam family "Bacterial small subunit ribosomal RNA", at positions 381 to 524 of the family's 1533-position model. The record is from RNAcentral.